Molecule: small nucleolar RNA, 106 nt
Organism: Lycium ferocissimum
Lineage: Eukaryota; Viridiplantae; Streptophyta; Magnoliopsida; Solanales; Solanaceae
Source: RefSeq, a predicted model, not a curated record
AAACCAUGAUUUGGAGACUUCUGCAAAUAUUAUUUAAAACUCUCCCAAGCUUCAUAUAGUUGCUUCCCUGGCAUUGUUUGAAUUCAUAAAUUUUGUCCAUAAAUUU